GAAAAAUCUGAGCGAGCUCUGAGCGCUCUGCGGGGCACAGAACCGCACGGAUGGGGCACCGCUCAUCGUGCGGCUCCGCUGCGGGCGCGGGGCCGGGGCUCGGAGACGCGGUGGUGUCCGGAGCGAUGUCCGGUGCCAUCCCGCAUUCCCCCUACAGUCGUCCCGAGUCCAGAGGGCGGUAGGGUCUCUUAACCGACAAAGUGCGCCUUAAUUACUGCUGUUAAUUAUUAGCGCCGGUUAUUGGACGUUGUUAGGAACUUCAUGAAAUAACUAAACAAACCGGUAAUCCAAGGCCCUACAACAACAAAACCGAACAAUCGCGUGAAUCUGAGUAGAGCGGGGAAUCAUUUCAAACGCCUAAAGCUUUGACCAAUGUGCACAAGGCUUUUCUGACUGCCGGCCUCCCCACAGACGCGCUCCGGCCCGCACUGCCGCCCGCAUCCCCGCCCCGCGCAGCGCCGCGAUCCCUCCGGCCCGGGGUUCCCCGCGCCCGCACUCCGCCCCGUUGCGGUGUAACGCAGCGCUCAGCGGCACCGCGCGGCACACAAAGAGCGGCACCGCCCGCACCGCCCGCGCGUAUAGGGAUGGAGUCACCGAUAAGCAAAGAGCUUCCAACCGUCGGCAAAUCCUUGCCGUAUGUACACUCGCUUCAAAUACUGCAGACGUAGAGCAGUGAAGGGAAAGCAGGGGCAGCAGAAUGAGCAGAGUGCCGUUCAGGAUCUGUGUGUUUUCCCCGCACCUCCUUCACGCAGAAUGACAAAGGACCCGAGGACACACCACGCUGGGGAAACGCCUGGGGAAUGCCGUGGUUGGUUCUGCAGGGGAUCAGAAUGUGCUCCGGAAGGCUCAAUAUCACAAACGGCCGUUUUCCUCUCAUUCUUAUUGCCUAAGAUAUGAAUGUUCAUAUUCAAGAAUGCGCUUUCAAAUCCACAGCACUCCAGGGUAAUAUUAAAUGAACUCUAUUUAAUAAAACACAUUCCAAGUUGUUAUUUUGAUUGGAG
RNAcentral lists this long non-coding RNA (1001 nucleotides) under Phasianus colchicus (ring-necked pheasant). RNAcentral describes it as "lncRNA (ENSPCLG00000006133.1)". Lineage: Eukaryota; Metazoa; Chordata; Aves; Galliformes; Phasianidae. The record is from RNAcentral.